UAAACAAAGAUUACAAACACCAUAACACGAAGUUUAAUGUUUAACUGCAUCAGUUUCUUUUGACACAUCAGAUACAUUGUUAAUAUUUACAUCAAACAUAAUUCCAUGUAAAAAAUAUAAGUUGAAAUGUCUCACAAACAGUAUUUUAGAGUUCCCUAGCAGUGGCAACACUCACAAUGAUUACAAGUUUACAUUUCCACAUUGAUCCAGAUCAGAUCAGACCAGAUCCCAUUUCCACAGAUAAUACAAGGAAAACACUUCAUAUGUGAAACCAGAGGAGAGAGAUGGAAAGUAGAUGCAUGGCAGUCAUCUUCAGUAGGACAUUGAAAAUAACUGAAUUUCAAUGCAAUAAGAGGCAUAUACAGUAUAAUGUUUAGUUAUGGGCGCUACAAAGUUAGUUUCAUAAAACUCUGUAACAUGGUAAAGGUUAUUGUGAAAAUCUAUUGCUAACACAAGUUCGACAGCAGUUGUUGGACAAUUGUUGUUUUGCCAAUACCACAGACAACAUAACUGUUUAGUGUCCACAAAUGCAGCAGUUUGUAGCUUAUAUUGCAAAUAACAAAAUAAUAACAGGAGAAGGAGGCAUAGGAGGAUGUGAAAGAGGAGGAUGUGGAGGAUGAUGAUGAUGAUGAUGAGGAGAAAAGGAAUAUGAGGAUGAGGAGGAGAAUUAGGAAGAGGAGAAGGAGGAUGUUGAGGCGGAUCAGGAGAAGGGGGAGGAGGUUAAUAUGGAUGAGGAGGAGGAGGAGGAUGUGGAGGAGGAGGAGGUUAAUAUGGAUGAGGAGGAGGAGGAGGAUGUGGAGGAGGAAGAGGUUAAUAUGGAUGAGGAGGAGGAGGAAUGUGGAGGAGGAAGAGGUUAAUAUGGAUGAGGAGGAGGAGGAAUGUGGAGGAGGAAGAGGUUAAUAUGGAUGAGGAGGAGGAGGAUGUGGAGGAGGAGGAGGUUAAUAUGGAUGAGGAGGAGGAGGAUGUGGAGGAGGAAGAGGUUAAUAUGGAUGAGGAGGAGGAGGAGGAUGUGGAGGAGGAAGAGGUUAAUAUGGAUGAGGAGGAGGAGGAGGAGGAUGUGGAGGAUGUGGAUAUGGAGGAUGUGGAUAUGGAGGAUGUGGAGGAGGAGGAUGUGGAGGAGGAAGAGGAUGAUGUGGAGGAGGAGGAGGAUGAUGAUGAAGAGGAGGAGGAUGAUGAAGAGGAAGAGGAUGUGGUGGAGGAGGAGGAUGUGGAAUAGGAGGAGGCUUAGGAUGUGGAGGAGGAGGAGGAUGUGGAAUAGGAGGAGGAUUAGGAUGUGGAGGAUGAGGAGAUCAGCAAUAGUAAUGGUGUUACAUGAGUAGGAUGUGCUCCACUGUUUCCAUACAGAGGGCACUUUACAGCAGUAAUACACGUCAUCAGCAGUUUCAGACCAACCAGAAACCACUGGCACACCUAACGAAAUACUAGCACACAUAUAGCGACAUCGCAAGACAACAAGGUCAUGAAGGAGAAAGUCUCACACAAAAUGUUACUCUAUCCCAAGAACCACUGUUUACAAGUUACAUUUUAUUACCUUCAAAAACCUCUAGGAGUUAAUCCGUUUGUUUCUUUCACAUUGAGCACAAACACAAUUAGUUUCCUUUUUUUAAGAACAUACAACUGACAUGGUAAAACACUGAACUUUGGGUUGUAUUUGUGUGACAGUCGUAUUUCGGUGGUAAUAGCUUCUAACUGGCUCUCAGUUCAAACACAUUAGCUUAUGGUCUGAAAUCAGCACUGUCACAGUGUAGCCUUGUCCUACGCAAAAUACCUGGAGUAGUAUUGUUUAUUACUGACAUGCUAUUCUCUGCAAGAUGAAUGCUAGAUCGUUUGAUUUGAAACUCUUUAUAUCAAAAUAAUUCUAAAAACCAUGUUCAAAAAUCUUGAAAUCAGACAGAGAAAGGUUGGGUUGAAGUCGUCUCCUGACCACCCUCAAGCUAUCAUCAAAACAUUACAACAAAAUCACAUUUCUAAAAUACACCAAGAAAUCAAUGUUCGCUCGUUCAAGUUCUUUGAGGACAGCCCUGGUUGGUGUUUGAUUGUCAAAUUUGUCUAUUGGACCUGCGAGUCUGACGAAGUCCUUCUUUAUAAUAACUUUGUUAUACGCCACAAAACACAAUGGACCUCAUUACAUCUCUGAGUUGAGCUAUUUCACAUACAGAUAUGGAGAGCAAGCCAGCGUUGGGGACGUAAACUGGGAAAGUAUUGUCCAUUUCAAAGCAUCUGCAUAUACAUCCCUUCCCAGCAGACAAAAUGGACGUUGUCAUGAAAACAAAUGAACAUGUCAUGAACUACAGUAUGGUAUGCUGUCAUGAACUACAGUAGGGUAUGCUGUCAUGAACUACAGUAGGGUAUGCUGUCAUGAACUACAGUAGGGUAUGCUGUCAUGAACUACAGUAGGGUAUGCUGUCAUGAACUACAGUAGGGUAUGCUGUCAUGAACUACAAAAUGGUAUGCUGUCAUGAACUACAUUACCCCUAUGCUGUCAUGAACUACAGUAUAAUAUGCUGUCAUGAACUACAGUAGGGUAUGCUGUCAUGAACUACAGUAUGGUAUGCUGUCAUGAACUACAGUAUGGUAUGCUGUCAUGAACUACAGUACCCCUAUGCUGUCAUGAACUACAAAAUGGUAUGCUGUCAUGAACUACACAAUGGUAUGCUGUCAUGAACUACAGUAUGGUAUGCUGUCAUGAACUAGAGUAUAGUAUGCUGUCAUGAACUACACAAUGGUAUGCUGUCAUGAACUACAGUAUGGUAUGCUGUCAUGAACUACAGUAUAGUAUGCUGUCAUGAACUACAGUAGGGUAUGCUGUCAUGAACUACAGUACCCCUAUGCUGUCAUGAACUACAAAAUGGUAUGCUGUAAUGAACUACAGUAUGGUAUGCUGUCAUGAACUACAGUAGGGUAUGCUGUCAUGAACUACAGUAUAGUAUGCUGUCAUGAACUACAGUAUGGUAUGCUGUCAUGAACUACAGUACCCCUAUGCUGUCAUGAACUACAAAAUGGUAUGCUGUCAUGAACUACAGUAUGGUAUGCUGUCAUGAACUACAGUAUGGUAUGCUGUCAUGAACUACAGUAUGGUAUGCUCUCAUGAACUACAGUAUGGUAUGCUGUCAUGAACUACAAAAUGGUAUGCUGUCAUGAACUACAGUAUGGUAUGCUGUCAUGAACUACAGUAGGGUAUGCUGUCAUGAACUACAGUAUGGUAUGCUGUCAUGAACUACAGUACCCCUAUGCUGUCAUGAACUACAGUACCCCUACGCUGUCAUGAACUACAAAAUGGUAUGCUGUCAUGAACUACAGUAUGGUAUGCUGUCAUGAACUACAGUAUGGUAUGCUGUCAUGAACUACAGUACCCCUAUGCUGUCAUGAAGUACAGUACCCCUACGCUGUCAUGAACUACAAAAUGGUAUGCUGUCAUGAACUACAAAAUGGUAUGCUGUCAUGAACUACAGUAUGGUAUGCUGUCAUGAACUACAGUAUGGUAUGCUGUCAUGAACUACAGUAUGGUAUGCUGUCAUGAACUCCAGUAUGGUAUGCUGUCAUGAACUACAGUAGGGUAUGCUGUCAUGAACUACAGUAUGGUAUGCUGUCAUGAACUCCAGUAUGGUAUGCUGUCAUGAACUACAGUAGGGUAUGCUGUCAUGAACUACAGUAUGGUAUGCUGUCAUGAACUACAGUAUGGUAUGCUGUCAUGAACUACAGUAGGGUAUGCUGUCAUGAACUACAGUAUGGUAUGCUGUCAUGAACUACAGUAUGGUAUGCUGUCAUGAACUACAGUAGGGUAUGCUGUCAUGAACUACAGUAUGGUAUGCUGUCAUGAACUACAGUAUGGUAUGCUGUCAUGAACUACAAUAUGGUAUUCUCCAGGGUUGUGGUCAAUACCAUUUCAAUUUCAGUCAAUUCAGAAUGUAAACCCAAUUACAGUUCAAAAUGUUCCUCAUUGAAAAGCAUUGAAGAGAAUUGGAAUUUGAGUGUACUUCCUGAAUUGACUGGAUUUAAAAUGGUAUUCACCCCAACCCUGGCAUGCUCUAUUUUUUUGGCAGCUACAAGUAAAUUAUAUACUAAAACUAAAACAGCACUUAGAUUGGAUCUAGAACCAUUAGCUUGUUGUUAUAUAUGGUGUGGACAUUGUGAGGAGUAAUCCAGGAUGAACUGCCAAUUAUCCUGUUUAGAUAUCCUGUCAUUCACUAUCAAUAUUUAUUCUAUAUUUAUUAUUACUAAAACCAAUGGUGACAAAAUAACAUCACACACUCAAUCACACAUACAUGUAAGUAUUUAUAAAGAAGCAAGCAAAUUAGCUUUAACAAACAUAAAACAAAAAGCAAUACAUACAAAAGUGUAUACUAAGCUAGAAAAAAUAGUUCACUACUACUGUGGGAAGAGAAAAGAGGCCACUACUACUGUGGGAAGAGAAAAGAGGCCACUACUACUGUGGGAAGAGAAAAGAGGCCACUACUACUGUGGGAAGAGAAAAGAGGCCACUACUACUGUGGGAAGAGAAAAGAGGCCACUACUACUGUGGGAAGAGAAAAGAGGCCACUACUACUGUGGGAAGAGAAAAGAGGCCACUACUACUGUGGGAAGAGAAAAGGUAAAAUAGUAUAAUAAAACCUUACACCAUGGUGUACAGUCAUGGUGAAGAGUAAGUAACCCCCGGAAGGUUGUCUUUGUUGUAUUUAUUUGGACAGAUGGAUAUGUCAUCUUCGCUUCAACACUACUGACAAAGGUAACCUCAUUUAAAACAUGACACUGAAAGAUUAAACUUGGCAAUAAUUUAUUCAUCAAAAAUCUACAAGACUGAGAUCUGGGCUUUGACUCGGCCAUUCCAUAACCCUCCAUUUCUACAGGAAUGAGAUCUGGGCUUUGACUCGGCCAUUCCAUAACCCUCCAUUUCUACAGGAAUGAGAUCUGGGCUUUGACUCGGCAAUUCCAUAACCCUCCAUUUCUACAGGAAUGAGACCUGGGCUUUGACUCGGCCAUUCCAUAACCUUCCAUUUCUACAGGAAUGAGACCUGGGCUUUGACUCGGCCAUUCCAUAACCCUCCAUUUCUACAGGAAUGAGACCUGGGCUUUGACUCGACCAUUCCAUAACCCUCCAUUUCUACAGGACUGAGAUCUGGGCUUUGACUCUGCCAUUCCAUAACCCUCCAUUUCUACAGGAAUGAGACCUGGGCUUUGACUCGACCAUUCCAUAACCCUCCAUUUCUACAGGACUGAGAUCUGGGCUUUGACUCGGCCAUUCCAUAACCCUCCAUUUCUACAGGAAUGAGACCUGGGCUUUGACUCGGCCAUUCCAUAACCCUCCAUUUCUUAUUUUUUUGCCAUUCUGUUGUAGCUUUGCUUCAUUGUCCUGUUGGAAGAUCCAUGUUCGAUUCAGCUUCAGCUUCUUUACAGGUGGCCUCACAUUCUCCUCAAGAAUUCUCUGGUACAAUAUGGAAUUCAUGGUUGAUUCAAUGAUGGCACGUUGGCCAGGCCCUGAGGCAGCAAAGCAGCCCCAAACCAUAAUGCCACCGCCUCCAUGCUUUAUUGUUGGUAUGAGGUUAUUCUGUUCAAAGGCAGUGUUUUGUUUUCAUUAAAUGUGGCGUCUGGCAUUGCGCCCAACAACUUCACCGUUGACUCAUCUGUCCAGAGCACAUUGUUCUAGUAGUUGUGGUCUUUACCCAGGUGUUGUCUGGCAAAUGUCAGUGGUGUCUUGAUAUUCUUUCUUUCGGUCAGCUCUUGGGUUAAAUUUGGUGGGAAGACCUGUCCUAUGUAGGUUGCCAGUGGUCUGGAAUGUUCUCCAUUUGUGGAUGAUCCGUCAGACAGUGGAAUGAUGUGUGGAAAUGGAUAUGUGACCCCUCCCAGACUCAUGGGCAUCAAUAAUGUUUCUUCUGAGGGCCUCGGAGGUCUUUUGAUCUUGGCAUGAUGUGUAACCACACAGCCAUAUGGUUAAAACCAAGUUUAUAAUCUUUAUGGAAGGCUGGACCCUCCCAAGGUACUCUCUAAUGACUUCCUUAAUGCACCUUUUUUGGUGCAGCUGAAUCUAAGUUCAGCCAUUGUAAAGGAAGGGGUAUACUCACGUUUUCUGCAUAAGGACAUUGCAUGUUUGCUUAUAUUAAUUGCAUAACAUUUUCAAAGUAAAUAUUCGGUUACCUUUAUCAAUGAAUUUAACUCAAAUAUCCAUGUGUCCAAAUAUGUAAAAUACAUACAAAUAAUGACCACUUUCCAGGGGGUGUACAUAUUUCUUCACAUACAUUUUUUUGUUGACAAAAAUCAACCCAGUAGGGCAGUGAGGUGAAGACAGUGAGGAUAGCUAGGUCCAUGUGAAGUAGAGAGUGAAGUUUGAAGAACAGAGUUCCAUCAGGACAGUGAGGUGAAGUGGAGUGAGAUGGUGUCUAUAAUAACAGAACAAGAUGAGGGGUCCUACUGACAGCCUCGGUGGAACAUGCAGUGCACAACACACAAGGUUUUCUUGUCCACAAACAACUGACACUUCCAUCAUAGCAGGGGAUGCCGACUCCAUCAUCACUCUCAUAGGACAGACAGAGAGACAGUGGUGGUGAUGGGGCAGGGGCAUAGCAUAGACACCCUUACAGCAAAGCUUGGUGUAGCUUGGUGUAUUUCAGAAUGAUGAUGUCUCUUACAGUGCUGGAGCUAUAGCAGUGGGUCACACGGACUGCUCCUUAGGGAAGAGGGGCCGUGGCGCCUCGCCCUGACCUUGGCCUUGGGCGGGAUAGCUGGCGGGGUACAGGGGGUUGUUGGAGAGAGGAUGUGUGUAGGGGUUCUGGGGUAAGAAGGUAACAGGAGGGGGGUAGGUCUGAGUUGGUUGUGACUCGAGACAGUGUUCCUUGUUGUAGACUCGAUGGUAGCUCACAUGUUCAGCCGGGUUGGAUGGUUCUUGCCACCCACAGUUCUGUGGAAACAAAGAGAGUCAAAGCGAACAGACCAUUUUAGUGUCCGCUAUAAACAAAUAAAUAUCAAUAUGGCAUUGAGAGUUUGUUGAAAGAUUGCCUUC
This 6994-nucleotide long non-coding RNA is filed under the name Salmo salar (Atlantic salmon). RNAcentral describes it as "lncRNA (ENSSSAG00000121649.1)". Lineage: Eukaryota; Metazoa; Chordata; Actinopteri; Salmoniformes; Salmonidae. The record is from RNAcentral.